This 85-nucleotide transfer RNA is filed under the name Felis catus (domestic cat). It matches the Rfam family "tRNA". From Rfam's summary of the family: Transfer RNA (tRNA) molecules are approximately 80 nucleotides in length. Their secondary structure includes four short double-helical elements and three loops (D, anti-codon, and T loops). Further hydrogen bonds mediate the characteristic L-shaped molecular structure. tRNAs have two regions of fundamental functional importance: the anti-codon, which is responsible for specific mRNA codon recognition, and the 3' end, to which the tRNAs corresponding amino acid is attached (by aminoacyl-tRNA synthetases). tRNAs cope with the degeneracy of the genetic code in two manners: having more than one tRNA (with a specific anti-codon) for a particular amino acid; and 'wobble' base-pairing, i.e. permitting non-standard base-pairing at the 3rd anti-codon position. RNAcentral also lists the same sequence under 4 other names. The record is from Rfam by way of RNAcentral. Lineage: Eukaryota; Metazoa; Chordata; Mammalia; Carnivora; Felidae.
GCCUGGGUGGCUCAGUUGGUUAAGCGUCUGACUGAAGCUCUGGUCAGGAUCUCACAGAUUGUGGGUUUGAGCCCCACAUCAGGCU